UACGUAGGGUGCGAGCGUUGUCCGGAAUUACUGGGUGUAAAGAGCUCGUAGGUGGUUUGUCGCGUUGUUCGUGAAAACUCACAGCUUAACUGUGGGCGUGCGGGCGAUACGGGCAGACUGGAGUACUGCAGGGGAGACUGGAAUUCCUGGUGUAGCGGUGGAAUGCGCAGAUAUCAGGAGGAACACCGGUGGCGAAGGCGGGUCUCUGGGCAGUAACUGACGCUGAGGAGCGAAAGCGUGGGGAGCGAACAGG
Molecule: ribosomal RNA, 253 nt
Filed under: uncultured bacterium
Lineage: Bacteria
Description: partial 16S ribosomal RNA
Rfam family: Bacterial small subunit ribosomal RNA
Source: RNAcentral